Molecule: small nucleolar RNA, 97 nt
Organism: Aspergillus fumigatus Af293
Lineage: Eukaryota; Fungi; Ascomycota; Eurotiomycetes; Eurotiales; Aspergillaceae
Rfam family: A. fumigatus snoRNA Afu_335
Source: Rfam
UCGAAUGAUGAUCUUCCUGAUAGGGACAUCUGAUGCAAAAAGCACAUGAUGCGAACAGGACAAGAGAUUUUAGUAGAUGCUUCUUGGAUAUCUGAAG